This 253-nucleotide ribosomal RNA is filed under the name uncultured bacterium. Its description in RNAcentral is "partial 16S ribosomal RNA". It matches the Rfam family "Bacterial small subunit ribosomal RNA", at positions 524 to 776 of the family's 1533-position model. The record is from RNAcentral.
UACGGAGGGGGCUAGCGUUGUUCGGAAUUACUGGGCGUAAAGCGCGCGUAGGCGGCUUUGUAAGUUAGAGGUGAAAGCCCGGAGCUCAACUCCGGAACUGCCUUUAAAACUGCAUAGCUUGAAUCCAGGAGAGGUGAGUGGAAUUCCGAGUGUAGAGGUGAAAUUCGUAGAUAUUCGGAAGAACACCAGUGGCGAAGGCGGCUCACUGGACUGGUACUGACGCUGAGGUGCGAAAGCGUGGGGAGCAAACAGG